RNAcentral lists this ribosomal RNA (465 nucleotides) under uncultured Klebsiella sp. Its description in RNAcentral is "bacterial SSU rRNA". It matches the Rfam family "Bacterial small subunit ribosomal RNA", at positions 338 to 795 of the family's 1533-position model. The record is from RNAcentral. Lineage: Bacteria; Pseudomonadati; Pseudomonadota; Gammaproteobacteria; Enterobacterales; Enterobacteriaceae.
CCUACGGGGGGCAGCAGUGGGGAAUAUUGCACAAUGGGCGCAAGCCUGAUGCAGCCAUGCCGCGUGUGUGAAGAAGGCCUUCGGGUUGUAAAGCACUUUCAGCGGGGAGGAAGGCGGUGAGGUUAAUAACCUCAUCGAUUGACGUUACCCGCAGAAGAAGCACCGGCUAACUCCGUGCCAGCAGCCGCGGUAAUACGGAGGGUGCAAGCGUUAAUCGGAAUUACUGGGCGUAGAGCGCACGCAGGCGGCCUGUCAAGUCGGAUGUGAAAUCCCCGGGCUCAACCUGGGAACUGCAUUCGAAACUGGCAGGCUAGAGUCUUGUAGAGGGGGGUAGAAUUCCAGGUGUAGCGGUGAAAUGCGUAGAGAUCUGGAGGAAUACCGGUGGCGAAGGCGGCCCCCUGGACAAAGACUGACGCUCAGGUGCGAAAGCGUGGGGAGCAAACAGGAUUAGAUACCCUUGUAGUC